This 241-nucleotide long non-coding RNA is filed under the name Elaeis guineensis (African oil palm). Its description in RNAcentral is "long non-coding RNA (EGUI_LNC009896)". The record is from RNAcentral. Lineage: Eukaryota; Viridiplantae; Streptophyta; Magnoliopsida; Arecales; Arecaceae.
GCCACCUCAAGAAUUUGACAUGAGUGUGGUAUUUUGGACUCCAGCCAAAGUCCAUUCAUUCAUUUGAAUAGCUUGAGAGGCUAUUCAUGACUCACUUCGACAAUAACCGAGCACAGUCAAAGAAUACUGAUGGUCUUUUCUUGAUCCAACAAGAAGAGGAAGAAUCACUAUAUAGCUACGUGGUAGGCUUUAAUGCCACCACACUCGAAGUGUGUAAUUUUAAUGAGUUGAUGGCAAUGCU